CUCGUAGGUGGUUUGUCGCGUCGUCUGUGAAAUUCCGGGGCUUAACUUCGGGCGUGCAGGCGAUACGGGCAAUACUUGAGUGCUGUAGGGGAGACUGGAAUUCCUGGUGUAGCGGUGAAAUGCGUAGAGAUCUGGAGGAAUACCGAUUGCGAAGGCAGCCCCCUGGACAGUGACUGACGCUCAUAUGCGAAAGCGUGGGGAUCAAACAGGAUUAGAUACCCCUGUA
This 226-nucleotide ribosomal RNA is filed under the name uncultured Thorsellia sp. RNAcentral describes it as "partial 16S ribosomal RNA". It matches the Rfam family "Bacterial small subunit ribosomal RNA", at positions 568 to 792 of the family's 1533-position model. Lineage: Bacteria; Pseudomonadati; Pseudomonadota; Gammaproteobacteria; Enterobacterales; Thorselliaceae. The record is from RNAcentral.